Molecule: long non-coding RNA, 193 nt
Organism: Lingula anatina
Lineage: Eukaryota; Metazoa; Brachiopoda; Lingulata; Lingulida; Lingulidae
Source: RefSeq, a predicted model, not a curated record
AGACCCCACUCUUGUCCAGCGGAGAGUCAGACCACCAUGGGGAUGUGCAAUCAAGUAGCAAUAAAGAUUAUGAAAGUCUGGAUUACAAUGAUAAGCUUGUACGCAACCUUCCCUUCGACUUGCUACUACAGGAACAUGAAAGGGACAAGCAUUUCUGGAUCAAGCAGGAGAUUAUGAAAUGGGUGGUCACCUU